RNAcentral lists this ribosomal RNA (484 nucleotides) under uncultured bacterium. Its description in RNAcentral is "bacterial SSU rRNA". It matches the Rfam family "Bacterial small subunit ribosomal RNA", at positions 350 to 851 of the family's 1533-position model. The record is from RNAcentral.
AGCAGUGGGGAAUAUAGCACAAUGGGGGAAACCCUGAUGCAGCGACGCCGCGUGGAGGAAGAAGGUCUUCGGAUAGUAAACUCCUGUUGUUGAGGAAGAUAAUGACGGUACUCAACAAGGAAGUGACGGCUAACUACGUGCCAGCAGCCGCGGUAAAACGUAGGUCACAAGCGUUGUCCGGAAUUACUGGGUGUAAAGGGAGCGCAGGCGGGAAGACAAGUUGGAAGUGAAAUCCAUGGGCUCAACCCAUGAACUGCUUUCAAAACUGUUUUUCUUGAGUAGUGCAGAGGUAGGCGGAAUUCCCGGUGUAGCGGUGGAAUGCGUAGAUAUCGGGAGGAACACCACUGGCGAAGGCGGCCUACUGGGCACCAACUGACGCUGAGGCUCGAAAGUGUGGGUAGCAAACAGGAUUAGAUACCCUGGUAGUCCACACUGUAAACGAUGAUUACUAGGUGUUGGAGGAUUGACCCCUUCAGUGCCGCAG